Molecule: non-coding RNA, 10879 nt
Organism: Paramuricea clavata
Lineage: Eukaryota; Metazoa; Cnidaria; Anthozoa; Malacalcyonacea; Plexauridae
Source: the annotation of a GenBank genome assembly
CGUCAAUUUAAUACAUUCUGUUGUCGGAUUCUAUACACUCUUGGAAAGAUUUCAAAAACGUUAGGAAGAAGUUGAGAAGAUAAAAAAUGAAUAGGCUAAAACUGUUUUCGUUUUUCCUGCUGUUUAUUAUCACUUCGGGUAAGUUCAUAGCUAUAUUUCCAAUAUGUUUUAGUAGCUAAUAACUGUAUUAAUUCUGGGAGAAUUUUGAAAUAUACUACAACAAGAAGAUAUGAGUUGUUUGUUUGUGGUGUUUCCACAAACAAACUAUUAUAUGUUUUAUCGCCAUGCAAACAUACAAAGAACUUAUAAUGUUGUUUGAGUUUGAAUCAUGCGUUCUAUAGUUUAAAGUUAUGUGCCUUUAUGAGUUUAUGAUCAUUUCCCAAGUUUGUUUAUGCCAAAUUCCUUACAAAAGGAUUAAAAACUGUUGACAAAAUGGAUUUGAAUUUUAAGGAAAGCGAUUUUGUCAGGCAUAUAAUAAAUAAAUAAUCGGCGGCUCAUGCAAUUUUGGCACCGACAUUUUUCAAAUAUCAGUCGUAGUGUUAAUCAUUAAUUUGCACUCCUUCCUGUGUGAUUACCUACUUAAUAAUAUACAUAAAGAUAUUACUCGACUGUGAUUGGUUGAUUUCAGUGCAGUUAAUCCCAGCAGUGCAAUUUUCUGUAAUCACAAUGCAAUUUUCUGCAAUCACAGUGCAAUUUUUUGUAAUCACAGUGCAAUUUUCUGUAAUCACAGUGCAAAAAUUUGUAGCAAACUGAUCUGAUUGGUGGAAAAACAUUGUGAUGAUUAAAUGAACCAAUCAGUUUAAAGCAAUUUAGUUUAAAGAAGUAACGUCAAAAAACCAAACAAAACAAACAUGGCGCCGCGCUACACAAAGUAAGAGUUGCCUUUGCGUGGAAAAUAUGGCUUUUAUCUUUAUUUUUAAAUGGAAAAGCAUUUACUUUAAACAAGACUAACAAAAAUUACAUAGUUGGUUGGAAUUUUCCACCUGUUAAUUAGCGUUGUAUAAUGUGAUAUAACAAAGCCAGGAAAACUUUGCCAGUAGAAUGUUCGCUAUAAACGCGUAAGUUAAAACUACAAUUGUCUCGAACAUUUUUAUGUAAAUUAUAUUAAUAUGUAUAUAUAUAAUACCAUGGUUUCUCGUGAAAUUUGGAUAAACAUGCACUCGUGAGUUUUUUCAAAGACCUCAAAUAGCACUCGUCCUAUUUUGAAGUCUUUGAAAAAAUCACUCGUGCAUGUUAUAUCCAAAUUGCAGAGGAAACCAUGCUAUUACCAUGGAUAAUAAAAUAAAUGGAUAGGACUCUAGUUGACGUAAGCAAAAACAACCUAGCUGCAAUCUGUGACGUCACGCGUAUUGCAAAGUUCUCGGCAUUUUUGUUGUUUCGCUAUACUUUCCGCUUUAAAAGAGUAAUAUUGAAGCAUAAACUGGUCUAAUUGUUUUAAAAACAUGCCUAAGCCACGACAAAGUAUUCAAGGUAAAAGUUUUUCGUCUUUGUUUUGUAUUUUUUUACAUUUGUAGCUAUGAAAUUGGCGUCCCCAAUUUUAACGAAAUUUGCGAUGCAUUUUUUCACUGUUUAGUGCUUGAAAUAUUUGCUAAAAUUGACUGGGAAUACUUAGAGAUUUCAUCGUAGAAUGGCGUAGUCAUAUUUAUUUGCUCUUUGACUAAAAUAUUUAGCUAUAUUAUUGCUAAACAUGCCGUUUUUGAGAAUUUGGUUUGCAACUAGGUUUCAACAUCUAACCAUGCACGCCAUCAGCCCAUUGAAAACACUAGAUCACGUCAGCUAGUUUCCUAUCCAUUUAUUUUAUUAUCCAUGCUAUUACCUAUACUAACCAAAGGAGGAUCGAUGGAUAGUUGUAAUGAGCACAAAAAAUGCAAAAAUUCUUUCAAAUCCAAUAAAAAUGUGUUGUGUUGAAAAUAUUCCAGGAACUGUUUCCUUUGAGGUGUCGAUAUUGCGUUGUGAAUGCAGACUUGCGGUGGCGUAGUGACGUUACAAGUCUUUAUUAUUGGGAAGCAAAAUUUUUACCGAUAUCCGCAUGAUCGUUGCAACUUCGAGAGAAAAAUGGGGGAAAUGUUCGCGUAUAAUGGAUGCCACAAAUUAAAGGCAGAAUUCACAAUUUAUAUACGUUAUAACAGAUCCAUGCAGUUACUUAUUGAGGAGUAUUUUUUCUUUCAGUCUCAAUUUUAUAAACGAUUAUAUAAUUAUUUCGAUAAUUAUUCUUUGGUUGAAAUAAUUGACUAUGCUUUUAUUUAGGCCUACUCGCCCGGAGAUAAUGCGCGAAAACUGCAACUUAUAAGUAAUGCGAAUUUGAGCGAUAUAUAGGGCGAAUUUUAUGGAAUGCACGCAACUUAAAGUGUUUCAAUUACGGUAAUUUCAGAAAUAUAAAACUAUCAUCCCAUAUGAGUCCAGAGAAAUUACUAUACCAUUUACCCAUGCCAAAUUAGCCGAACGUCCGAGUUUCCGCACACAUAUGCAAUGUAUGAAGCAAAAUAUACUUAUUAAAUUGGAACAUGUACAUUUGAUAUAAAAAUAAUUCAUUAUUCAUCCAUUGCUUACUUCGAAGCUUUUGGGUAUUUUCUAUUUUAAAUUUUCAAGCGUGUACGGUACAAAAUUGCAAUGCAACAACAUAAUAAAUUACACAUUUCUUACCAAUUUGUGUUGAGUUAAUUAAGAUUGGAAAUCAAAUGACCUCAAAUAUUAUUUACAAAUCAAAGCAAUAGAAUAUACUAAAAGAAAUAAUUUUACAAAACAGUAAUUGUGGAUCACAUUGAAAAGUCAUGUUCGGACAAUUUUUUUCCCAAUCGAUCACUUAAAUUUGGAAGGUGAUCUUUAAAUUAAUUAAACAUGCCUUUUGAAUUUCACAUGGAUGCCACUUUUCAGAUUUGUCGUCCCCAUACAGAAAACAUUGUUUCGUGAAAUUCCCAAACAAUUCGUAUUAAGCAAUUAAAGUUAUUGAUGCAGUCUCCAUAAAAACAAGAGUUUUAGUGUUAAUUAAUCUUGCAUGUGAAAAGUAACUGGAGAAGAUAGGGCAUCAAACUUUGUUUUAAAAAUUAGAUGAUUUUUUUUAAAGUUUCCUUCGUUUCCGUUCAGAAAAUACUCCCACUAUAGGUCAAAUUCCAGGAAGGACUAUAUAACUCCGAUAAAACAAAAGAUAGAAACGUUCUGAAAGAAGCCUGAUUAAUAUUGACUAAAGUCUGGUUUAUCUCAGUAAAAUAUGAGCUGAUUUUAUUUUUCCUUUCCAAAACCGGUGGGCGGAUUUUGGUGAGAGGCCCUUUUAUGUUUAACAGGGGGGAAGGGGGAUUCACUUCAAAAUGUCCAGGAAAAGUUUAUUUUUCACGAUUUGUGGAAAAUUCCAACAUCGAAUCCUGGUUUUAUUGAACGUCAAAACUGAUUUUCAUUUACCUAUGCCAAUAAAUUGAGGAUUUUCCGUUUCGUAUUGUGAAAUUUAAAAUGACAAAAAGUGAAUGUACCGAAGAGCAACGAGGCUGGCGCUUAAACACACACAUUGAUUUUGAGCUUUUAGUCGUUGAUUUAACUCGCAAGAACUGGAAAAAGUCAAUGUUCUUAUAAUGUCAUCUAAAUUUUAAUCCAUUUGUUUGUUCGUUUGUUUAUUUGUUCAUUUUUUUUCAAAUUACCUUUUUUACAAUUAACCAUAACUGAAGGUAAUCCCUACAGCGUUUAUUACUUUAUUUACAAGGUCCGCAAGAUUUUUCUCGAGAUUUACUGUACCCAGAUUAUACUUCCAAGUCUCCGAGGAAACCGAUUUUUAAAAUUUCCUGAAAAACGAAUAGGGUGUUCAAAAGGACCCUGUCAGCGGUAGUUACCGUGAAAAUAGGCCUCAGUGGCAUAGUAUUGCGUCAACUGAUAAUGUCAAAAUCGGCCAUGUUUUUGGGAUCUUUUUUCUUGUGCCGAGCAUUUUUUCAAUAAUAUAACUUGAGCUCACUCAUUUUAUCUUGAUGCCCAAAGCUCAGUUUGUAUUUACAGUUCACAAGUAUAUUUCUUUAUAUAGAUGCAAGUGAUGACGCUCAAUUGGAGAAACGGUCCUCAACUGGUAUAUAAAUUAUCAUUCAUUUUUAUAGCUAAUCAAUCUUCAUCUAUAUUGUUUAUACGUACCUACAGUAGUAUACAUUAUACUGUAAAAUCAGGCUUGAUGAUAAAUAUAUAUAUAUAUAUAUAUAUAUAUAUAUAUAUAUAUAUAUAUAUAUAUAUAUAUAUAUAUAUAUAUAUAUAUAUAUAUAUAUAUAUAUAUGUAUAUAUAGAGCUAUAGUUUUUUGUUCACUUCGUUCAAUAAGGUUCCUUUCCUUGCGAAGCAAUCUAUAGCGUUUGAUGCUUCCCCUCUCUCCCUAAUUGUUUUAGCCUUGCUUAAAACGUUUGUCAAAUGAGCUCUAUGUUCUUUUCGUAAUUAAGCGCUGAAUUUUUGAGUUUCUUCCAUCCUGGUCACGCCAUGCCAUCAACAAUGUCAUAAAAGACGAGAACCAGUUUCGUUUUGGUUAAAUAUAUUUUGAUGGAUCGGAAAUAUUACAGAACUUUAUGCUUAGUUAAAAUAUAAACUACUAAUAUAAGCUUCUAAAAGUGCGCGAAAAGACUGUCAUGUGACUGAAGCACAGCUAAUCCAAACUAAAUGUCUAGUAAAUAUCAAUGUUCUAAUCUAUGGUUUAAUCUAAUAUUAUUCAACAGUAUUCAAUAUCUAUAUACAAUUUGAAAUAUUUCCUUUCACAGUGUGCAUUAAUAAUUGCCGUUCUGCCUGCCGAACAAUUGGCACAUUUGAAGGAUUCUGUAAUCAAAUUUGCCCGAAUGUUGUAAGUCUUAAAAUUUAUAUACGUCAUGUUUUAAAAUUAUGCUCGAAUAAUUCGACUGGUUUAAUUACGAAAAUUAUGCCGGUUUUUGUUAAAUUAUACCGAUUUACGCCAGAAAAGUCAAAUGAGCAAUUACGCAAGCAGUGCCUUUCCAUAUAAAGUACCAAAGAUAUGGCUCGUGUACCCAAAUCAUGCCAAACCAUGUGCUAGCAGAAUCGAGAAAAGCCUAUUUGUGACCAUAAAAAUGCUUAAAAAUAAUGCAUUGUUGACAACGUGUUUCUACAGCAGGUCAUGUGAUUGUCGGACAUUUUACGAUGUUGAACAGGAAGCAUAUGCAACUUGUAUCAGAAAUCUUACUAGAUAAGUUCGGUCAGUAAAACCUCGCGCGAUUGCUUGCUCCUGCAUAACUUUGGCAUAUUAAAUGUUUUCCUCCCAGUAAUUCUGUUGGUUAUAGUUCCACAUAGGCUUUUGCUAUGGCUGUAUGGCAACACACGUACGCAACUCACUCUAAAUUGUAGUCCAUUCAUUCACGUUGUUGGGGAAAAGCUCAGUGACCACAUUCUUUCCGCGCAUGAUUUUAUUUUGAACAUUAAUAACACUAAAAAAAGUGGUAAUCUCGUUUCUUCAAUUUGAUACAGAAUAUUUUUCCUCAGCGUAAAACGUUCAUAUCUCAAAAGUUCAAGGUACCUUGGUGAACUCGUUUUCGAGUUAUAUUCAUUGUAUUAUUUCCGGUCCUCUGCGACAUAAAUGAUUUGUCAAACACGUACACAAUUUUAGGCGCAGGUUGAGAAAAACCCGCACAUUCAAGGGAAUCAAAGUUUGAAAUUGAAGCUAUAGCCUAUAGAAAUGCAAAUAUCUUUGUGCUUUUUAUACUAACUAAAGUGGUAACUAACUAAUUACGAACAAGAAAAAAGAAAGAAUUGUGACGGAUUAUAAUUUUCCCGUCAUUUGGCCAAAGAUAUGUUGGGCAUAUAAAACCUGCUUGCAGUCUUCUAUUUCGACUUCUGUGUUUUCAUGUUGGUGUUCAACUCAAGAAAGUGAGAAAUAGAUUCUCUAUUUAAAACUGCCUAACUGGUCAAUGUGCAAAGGCAAAUCUCAAGUCAAUAUUUGAAUUCCGAUAAUUCUGAGUUUGAACUUGUUUCCUGAACAUAAAUGUGAUACAGACAUACGACUAACAAUUCAUACAUUUAUAUGGUAUUAUAAGAAGGUAUUUUUUUAUGAAAAUAGAACAGAGAAAGAUUAAAAAUUCGCUUGAUUUGUUGUCGAUGUUUUUACUUUGGCCUUGAGAACUAUAUUUAUAUAUAUUGUCGACUGUUAUUAUACACGAAAUUUUCACACGAAAGCGAACAACGCAAACUGCGAAAUUAGACACCAGGGGCCGGUUGUAUAAAAACGUAGUUAGCGCUAACUGCAGUUAAAAAGUAGUUAAAAAGCCUUAAAAAAUAGUUAACUUUAAUCACGUAGUUAAGCCUGUUGUAUAAAAGUGUAGUUAGCCUUAACUGCAGUUAAAAAGUAGUUAAAGUUAACUAUGCUUUAGGGUAUAGUUAACUGUCCAAAACGUAGUUAAAAAUGGUGUUUGUAUAGGAGUGCACAACAUUUUUCAGUAAAACAACAAUGAAAAGCAACGCUUACCUGAGAUUUUCAACCGCUAUCUUCCCUGUGAAUGUUUCCUGACAAUAUAAACUCUUCAAACGCUAUCGCUUUGGUGUUUUUGCGAAAACAGAACAUAUUUUUGCCCAGGACGACUUCUCGAAGACGAAGUUUGGUCCAUUACACCAAGAAACACUGAUAUAUGAUUGCCAAACAGCUAUACCUUGGUUUAACGUAGGCAUCUCAAGGAAAAACUGCAUUCUUUUAUGAUUUUUGUGGCGGUUUUUCCUUGUUUUCUUGUAUAUUUUUCACUGUUUUCUAGUGUUUUGAAUAAAAUUCCCGCCUAUUUGCAAAAUACGAGUCCACAAUCAUGUUGAAAAUGUGUGUCAGCGGUCGUUAUUCGCUGCUUACUUUAUGUCAUUUUGUGUUUAAACGCCCCACGCAAGCCCCACGCACAGUUAACUACGUGAUUAGUUAACUAUCCGACUAACUACGUUUUGUGCAACGCAGUUAAGUCAUGUAGUUAACUAAUUACAGUUAAGGAUUUAACUGCAGUGAUUAACGCUAACUACAGUUAGCGCUAACUACGUUUUUAUACAACCGGCCCCAGGGGGCGGAAUAGGAUUGGUUGAAAUUUUCCUUUGCGGUCACGCCGAAAAUUGCGUAAAUUGCAUAGCUAUGUAUGAUAAUUCAUAGUUGCUCAGCGUCCGCCAUCAUGGACAUGACAUUUUUUGAAUAAUGUUAAAUUAGUUAUGCAAAAUACUGCUUACGCAAGUGUACGGCAUUAGUGUUGAUUGAUCGCAGACUGUUUCUCCGCCGCUCCAGGAGGGGUGGGCUGAGAUAAGUCUGCUAUCGCAGACUAAAGGCCCUUUUACGCGGUGCAAUUUUUCAUGCAACUUGUCUCGCAAUGUUUAAAAAAAGACUUUGAUAAUGCAUUGCAAGAGGUGUUACACGCUGCAAUGAUAUUCAUGCAACUCGCAACGAUACGGCACAGAGGCAUGCGAAGAGAAUAGGGAGAGGCGCAAUUUGGCGCCAAAUUUUAAUUAAAGUAAAGCGUGUACUGGGGAGAGCCAAUAGGAACUCUCCAAGCAUUAAACAUUGCGAGACAAGUUGCACGAAGCCAUGUUACACGCUGCAAUGCUAAAAAUAAUUAGUGCAAUCGUUGCCAAAAGUAGAACCGACUUCUACUUUCUGCAAUGCUUCAUGCAACUUGUCUCGCAACGAUUUUGACCAUUGCAAGGCAUGUUAAAUGGUGCAAUGACUCGUGCAACUUGUCUCGCAACGCCAUUGCGAGACAAGUUGCAUGAGAAAUUGCACCGUGUAACAGGGCCUUAACUAACAAUGAUCGCAUGAGCGGCUUUUAGUUCGAACUGCAUGAGCAUUGAAGUUGAAAAACUAUGUAACGUGAUAUUUAACAUAAACGUUGCUGGGUUGAAUCCGAGAAGGAAACUUUUCUUUGUUAAAGUUUGCCUGUCCAAAACAAACAACUAACAAGGCGACAAAACGUCUAAAACACAAAAAUCGCAAAAAAAUAAGAAACACGUGUUAGGGAAAUAAGAUUACAACCCACUGAUCAGGUCAUGUAAAUUUCAUUUUUUCAAUUGAAUUAAACUCCUAAGCUGCUGGCAGAAUGUCUUCGAGCCACAUGCGCAGUUCAUAUGUCUCCAUCAACAAGAAGGAAAAAGCUGUCAAAGUCGACACAAUGCCGUCCUCAAUUUGGCUUUUCCAAAAAGUAUAAUCAGUAAAUACCCAGCGUUCGCUUGCUUUCCUGCGUUUAGCCCCGUUUCUCAGGAUACGAGGUUCCGAUUGGGAAUUAUGAAUAAGGUCUAGGAAACUCAGCCAAACAUAUUUAAUCGUUAUGCUCCAGCAAUUUCAAAUAUGUAUAAAUUGUCUGCAUUAUGGAUAAAUUUAACAUAUUUUUGUGCCCAAAUUUGUUGUGAGAUAUAAUUUCUGACAAGGUUUCGCUGCCCAUUCUACUGACUUACAUUAUAUUAAUUAAUUUAAUAUUUUACCCAUGGAGGCAGUAACAUACCAAAAGAUGUUCAAAAUUUUCUCAAAUUUCCGUAAUGCGAACGAAUUUGUUAUGCCAAAUUUGAAUACAUUAAUAUCCCCCAAAGUUUUAUGUCGUAACAAACUCAUAAACCUUACUACACUACAGGCUAGAACAUAUCGGACAGGACAUACUUUAGUCCUUACCGUGCUUUCUUCCUUGUUUUCAAGUCUUUUCAAAUGUUUUGUUAAUUUCAAAAACACAACAUAAGGCAAAAUAAUGAAAGAGAUUUGGAACAUCGAGACAUGCAGUUUUUUAUCCGAGUUUUGUUUAAAAUUAUAAAAUGGCAGGAAAUUUGUCUAGCUUUGAGAAAUGCACUUGUAAUGUUUCCAAUACUAGUUGUGAGGUUAGUAAUAAAAAGAGUCCAAUCAACUUAUUUAAAACAUAGUUACAGCAGCUACUUAAUUAAUGCACGGAAAUUAGUUUUUUUACACAUACGUCUUUCUCAUUAAUAAGUGGUGUAGGUUACAAAAUUUUUUGGUUAGUUAUUCGGAGUGGAUGUGUGUUAUAUGUACAUGUUGUCGCUGUAUUAUACUCGCUGUAUUAUUAUCACUUACAAAGACAUUUUUGUUAUAGCAUUACUUUUAAUUGUCCAACAUAAUAAAAUAUCUAUUGGAUUCGUCUUCCACCAAUUUGGCAAAAUAUUAAGUUUCAACUUCAAUAUUUGGCACAUUGGGCUUAGAAGAAUCCAAUUUUCAGUUGAGAUGAUGAUUAAUUUUAACAUAGUUGUUGUUUUCCUAAUGCCAGUAGGGCUAGGUUUUGCCGUGUAUAGACCGCGUUUCCAUGUAAAAGGAAACAGGACGUCUUCAUGACGCUAUUAAUAUACAAGAAUAUAUUUUCUAAUUUAUUUUAUUGUUUCCCAUCCAAGCAUAUUGUUCUUUCUUUAGGUUUUGAAAUCUUCCAAUAGACCUGCCUGUCUCGCUGCCUGCAAAUGGAUCCCCGUUCGCGAUGGAAAAGCCAUAUAUACCUGCCAUCGACUGUGCAUGCUUGUAAGAACAUAAUUAUAGUCGUUUUACCUCAAAAGGUGGCCACAAAAGCCUGUUUCAUCCAAACGACAUAUCAUCAGGUGGCUGACAAAUUUCGAAAAGUGGGCUGCUUAAAUGUUUAGGGUCGGAAACGUGGGCGUCAAACAAUACAUGCAUUCCUUCCAUUGUUAUCAUUGUUGACUAGAAAUUUCUCUUUAUGAUUACAUGUUGAAACUACAGGGUGUAUAAAAAAAAAGCGCAAUCCUCGACAGAAAUGUAAAUUGCUAAACAAAUAAUAAACGAAAACGUUAAAGUUUACAUUCAUUUUAAAGCGUAGCCAUUCAGCUUUCUAACAGUGGGUUGUUUCUUAAAUUUGACUCAUUGGUUCGCGGGUAAUAAUACUUCACGUUAUUGCGAUUGGAGAUUAAAAAAAUUGAGAUGGAAUAACAAAUCGUUCUCAUGAAAAUAACUGAUUUUUUCAUUAAAACAAAAAAAUGUUGCAUUUUAUUAAAUGGAUUGUAACAAUAAGUAUAAUUACGGCUUUUCUUCCACUAUUUUUAACUCAGUUUGAAACUUCAAAUGCGAUAUAAUUUUGGCUUGGACCAUCUAAGCUGACUGACAUCAACUUGCUAUAAUUUCUGUUUACAUUACAUCGCAAUUCGAUGACACUCUGGCUCAGACACCAGAAUGUUUUGACGAUUUUUAGCAUUCGUUUAGGAUUUUCAAACAACCUGGUCUCUUUUAAAAUACUUUUAAUUUGUUCUUACGUGGUUUUCCAGAUGUAAUGACGAGAACAUUAAAGUUUAAAGAAGAAAAUUCUAACAUUUAAACCGACUAAACAAUAACAUAGUAAACUUGCAUAAUUAAACAGCAACUAAAAAUGAUAGGUUUUACUAAAUCUUUUCCUGUGCAAUUAUUACUAGCAUUGGAGACAAGGAUAAUAGUGUGUUUGAAAGAGAAAAGAACAGGCUUUGAAGUAAGCCUAAAAGCGUUUAACUAGAAAUAGUAUUUCGAAAGUUAUUAAGCACCAAAGAUGAAUUGCGUUUAUUUUGAUACACCCUGUUUUCUCUCGAAACACAAAUUUCAGUUUUUUAUUCCUCCGUAUAAGAAACAGUGCGUUUUUGUGUUGGCAAGGUUAUGUCAAAAUCUUGUUUGUUGACACCGGAAAAGAAAGACUAAUACCUACUCUCUCUUUUUUUCUCUAGUGUUUCCCUUGAUCGACUUCCAUGCAGACUUAUAUUUUUAUUACAUUUUUGUCCGGAUUAUACUGUAUAAUACAUAUGCAUGUAAUUCGUUUGUGGCUCUUUUCAUGGUAAAACUUAUAAUUUUGAAACAGCUAGCAUUAGGCUUACUGUAAAGCAUGCACUUCAAAAAUAAUUCCUGUAUGUAUUCUGUUUUAUUUAGUGAUAAAAAUUUGUGUGUGCAUUUACGACGACAUUUGUCGAGAUUUGUGGUCCGUCAUUAUAUCGCAAUAAAUAUUCAAC